This 537-nucleotide long non-coding RNA is filed under the name Salvia miltiorrhiza (redroot sage). Its description in RNAcentral is "long non-coding RNA (SMIL_LNC003168)". Lineage: Eukaryota; Viridiplantae; Streptophyta; Magnoliopsida; Lamiales; Lamiaceae. The record is from RNAcentral.
GAAAACGUGUCAGUUUCUUCCCCGUGGUCGAAAAGAAAUUUGACUUUCAUUGCAAAUGAUGGUGGCAUAGUUCUCAACUAUCCAUUCCAUUCCUAAAAUUAUGUAUAUGUCUCUCAUCGGCAUAACAUACGAGUUGUUCACUCCAACUUGAAUAAUUUUUAUGCUUAGCUCUAAAUUCAAGCACACAUGUGCUAUUAUUGUUGUUGUUGCUAUCGCUGGUGUGGUUACUGCUCUUGGUAUGGUUGGGCAAAGCUUGGAUUGCUCAAAUGCAGAUUCUGAACAGGCGAGUUUAGCCUGAGACCCGCCCUUUGUUGCUUAUUCGGGUAACGAUUUGUAUAAUGUUCAUUCCAGUUACUAUGCAACAACCUUCAUUACCAGUACUGGAGAGUUUCCCAUGGUUCUUGUUCCACUUUGGGCAGGGUGGAGUCCCAUACUUGUUAUCCCCCAUCUGUUUUGAGGUGUCAUAGCCACGUUGCUGUGACGUCUGCCCCUGCCAUGGCCCUUUCCUUAGCUUGGCCAGGGUUACUAUAUCCCAUU